AGAUCAGCCCUGGGGUUCAGAGGGAUCCUGACGGCUACUCCUCAAGAUCCUCUCUGUUGUGAUUCAUCCCCCCCGGGCCCUACAGUUUCUCCUUCCUGACUCUUACAUUUCUUUGGAUGGCAUCAUUAUUUUAGGUGCCAAGCACUGUGGAUUCUGCCCCUCAGUGUCCAGACACCCAUUUUCCUUCCCACUGUUCCUUCCCCAUGGAGAAGCCUGUGGCUGGCUGACAGCAGAGAGAGAUGCUCAACUUGGAGAAGGUGUUACCUGGGCCAGGUGGGGAAGGUUUGUUUGCAGAGCAAAGAAGUGAAGCCUAUUCAACGUGAAAAAGAUGAGGAUGAAGACCUUUAUUAUGAUCCACUUCCAAGUAAUGAACACACUGGAGAAAGUCAGACAGUCAAAACAAUGUCCCAGACUCCGUGAAGUUCCUGGGUAGAGAAGGAGACAGACAUAUACCAUACCUAAUAAUUGGAUGUCCGAGAGAAUGAGAGAAUGGCAGAAAGAACUUUAGAGCAUGGGUAUGAUGGCUAGAGCUUGAGCAGCCAUUGUGGACAUCAGAUGAACUUGAAAGUGAAAACUAUGAGCUGAAUACGACAAAGCAAACAGAUAGAAAACUGGAUUCAUUAUGACAUUGCAAAGCUGCCAGACCAGCUCUAGUCUGCUUCCCCCUAAUCUUCCUUACUAAGAGAGAGAAAUAAACUUCCAUCUUCUUCAA
Molecule: non-coding RNA, 712 nt
Filed under: Pan troglodytes (chimpanzee)
Lineage: Eukaryota; Metazoa; Chordata; Mammalia; Primates; Hominidae
Source: RNAcentral